AACGAACGCUGGCGGCAUGCCUAACACAUGCAAGUCGAACGAGACCUUCGGGUCUAGUGGCGCACGGGUGCGUAACGCGUGGGAAUCUGCCUUUGGGUUCGGCAUAACAGUUGGAAACGACUGCUAAUACCGGAUGAUGACGUAAGUCCAAAGAUUUAUCGCCCAAGGAUGAGCCCGCGUAGGAUUAGCUAGUUGGUGAGGUAAAGGCUCACCAAGGCGACGAUCCUUAGCUGGUCUGAGAGGAUGAUCAGCCACACUGGGACUGAGACACGGCCCAGAAUCCUACGGGAGGCAGCAGUGGGGAAUAUUGGACAAUGGGCGAAAGCCUGAUCCAGCAAUGCCGCGUGAGUGAUGAAGGCCUUAGGGUUGUAAAGCUCUUUUACCCGGGAUGAUAAUGACAGUACCGGGAGAAUAAGCUCCGGCUAACUCCGUG
RNAcentral lists this ribosomal RNA (433 nucleotides) under uncultured bacterium. RNAcentral's name for it is "partial 16S ribosomal RNA". It matches the Rfam family "Bacterial small subunit ribosomal RNA", at positions 29 to 507 of the family's 1533-position model. The record is from RNAcentral.